UAAGGUUAAGUUAAUAAGGGCGCACGGUGGAUGCCUUGGCACUAGGAGCCGAAGAAGGACGUGACAAACGACGAUAUGCCUUGGGUAGCUGUAAGUAAGCGAUGAUCCAGGGAUUUCCGAAUGGGGGAACCCAACAGGUACUACCUGUUACCCGCAUCUGUUAAGGAUGUGAGGAGGAAGACGCAGUGAACUGAAACAUCUAAGUAGCUGCAGGAAGAGAAAGCAAAAGCGAUUGCCUUAGUAGCGGCGAGCGAAACGGCAGGAGGGCAAACCGAAGAGUUUACUCUUCGGGGUUGUAGGACUGCAAUGUGGACUCAAAGAUUAUAGAAGAAUGAUUUGGGAAGAUCAGCCAAAGAGAGUAAUAGCCUCGUAUUUAAAAUAGUCUUUGUACCUAGCAGUAUCCUGAGUACGGCGGGACACGUGAAAUCCCGUCGGAAUCUGGGAGGACCAUCUCCCAACCCUAAAUACUCCCUAGUGACCGAUAGUGAACCAGUACCNNNNNNNNNNNNNNNNNNNNNNNNNNNNNNNNNNNNNNNNNNNNNNNNNNNNNNNNNNNNNNNNNNNNNNNNNNNNNCCGGGAGGGGAGUGAAAUAGAACCUGAAACCGUGUGCCUACAACAAGUUCGAGCCCGUUAAUGGGUGAGAGCGUGCCUUUUGUAGAAUGAACCGGCGAGUUACGAUAUGAUGCGAGGUUAAGUUGAAGAGACGGAGCCGCAGGGAAACCGAGUCUGAAUAGGGCGCAUUAGUAUCAUGUCGUAGACCCGAAACCAUGUGACCUACCCAUGAGCAGGUUGAAGGUGCGGUAAGACGCACUGGAGGACCGAACCAGGGCACGUUGAAAAGUGCUUGGAUGACUUGUGGGUAGCGGAGAAAUUCCAAACGAACUUGGAGAUAGCUGGUUCUCUCCGAAAUAGCUUUAGGGCUAGCGUCGACAUCAAGAUUCUUGGAGGUAGAGCACUGUUUGGGUGAGGGGUCCAUCCCGGAUUACCAAUCUCAGAUAAACUCCGAAUGCCAAUGAAUUAUGGUCGGCAGUCAGACUGCGAGUGCUAAGAUCCGUAGUCGAAAGGGAAACAGCCCAGACCACCAGCUAAGGUCCCAAAAUAAUUGUUAAGUGGAAAAGGAUGUGGGGUUGCACAGACAACUAGGAUGUUAGCUUAGAAGCAGCUAUUCAUUCAAAGAGUGCGUAAUAGCUCACUAGUCGAGUGACCCUGCGCCGAAAAUGUACCGGGGCUAAAACAAUUUACCGAAGCUGUGGAUACCUUUAUAGGUAUGGUAGGAGAGCGUUCUAUGUGUGAAGAAGGUAUACCGUGAGGAGUGCUGGAACGCAUAGAAGUGAGAAUGCCGGUAUGAGUAGCGAAAGACAGGUGAGAAUCCUGUCCACCGUAAGACUAAGGUUUCCAGGGGAAGGCUCGUCCGCCCUGGGUUAGUCGGGACCUAAGGAGAGACCGAAAGGUGUAUCCGAUGGACAACAGGUUGAUAUUCCUGUACUAGAGUAUGUAGUGAUGGAGGGACGCAGUAGGCUAACUAAAGCAGACGAAUGGAAGUGUCUGUCUAAGCAGUGAGGUGUGAAUUGAGUUAAAUGCUUAGUUCUAUAACAUUGAGCUGUGAUGGGGAGCGAAGUUUAGUAGCGAAGUUAGUGACGUCACACUGCCAAGAAAAGCUUCUAGCGUUUAAACAUACUCUACCCGUACCGCAAACCGACACAGGUAGUCGAGGCGAGUAGCCUCAGGUGAGCGAGAGAACUCUCGUUAAGGAACUCGGCAAAAUGACCCCGUAACUUCGGGAGAAGGGGUGCUGACUUUAGGUCAGCCGCAGUGAAUAGGCCCAAGCAACUGUUUAUCAAAAACACAGCUCUCUGCUAAAUCGUAAGAUGAUGUAUAGGGGGUGACGCCUGCC
Molecule: ribosomal RNA, 1895 nt
Filed under: Burkholderia multivorans
Lineage: Bacteria; Pseudomonadati; Pseudomonadota; Betaproteobacteria; Burkholderiales; Burkholderiaceae
Description: partial 23S ribosomal RNA
Rfam family: Bacterial large subunit ribosomal RNA
Source: RNAcentral